Molecule: signal recognition particle RNA, 284 nt
Filed under: Phascolarctos cinereus (koala)
Lineage: Eukaryota; Metazoa; Chordata; Mammalia; Diprotodontia; Phascolarctidae
Description: Metazoan signal recognition particle RNA (ENSPCIG00000011546.2)
Rfam family: Metazoan signal recognition particle RNA
About the family: The signal recognition particle (SRP) is a universally conserved ribonucleoprotein. It is involved in the co-translational targeting of proteins to membranes.
Source: RNAcentral
GCCUAAUGUGGCCAUCCCUACUAUGGCAGGGAGGCUGAGGCUGGUGGAUUACUUGAGCCCAGGAAUUUUGAGGUACAGUGCACCAAGAUGAUUGGUUUUCUGCCCUGAGGGUAGCACCACUAAGGAGAGGCCCUGGGAGCAGGGGGCCACCACACUGCCUAAGGAUGGGUGAACAGGUUUAAGUGAGAAGCAGAGCAGGUCAAAGCUUCCAUGUCUAUCAGCAGUCUGGUCCAUGAAUGGCUACUGUAUUUUCAGCCACAGUGAGAUAGGAAGACCCAAUCUCA